CUGCCCUCCACAUCAUGUGUGUCUCUGUUGGCGUGCAGCACUCACAGACAGCACCGUAGACGGAGGGGUGCGCGUACGGCCGCUGCUCCAACCCUCCGCCCCUCCCACCCACACACGAAAAACUCAGAAAAGCACUACAUUUUCGGAAAGGGGGCACCAUGGCAUCACGUAUGCCGCAGCACCCACGUGUUUGCCACUCUCAAGCUGCCGUGCUCCUCUCGUCAUCACUCCACACUGUCGGUGAUGUGUUCCCCUUCUCGCAUCACUGUCACGCGCUGGAUUCUUCAACUCCUCUCCCUGCCUUCUCUGUCUCUUCGUUUGUCGCGCCCGCCUUCGAUGAGGCGCACGCCCUUCCUUGCCGUCAGUUCUGCCUCACACGCAGGCGAAGAGCGCAGCUAGGUUUAGUCGAGGAACACGUAGAGCCAACACUGCGCACGCCUUGGGCGCGACAAUGGAGAUCACGGACACGGUAAAGGAGCGCGUUCGGUACUUUUUCGUGCAUCACAGCGAGCCACCUCGUCCUUUGUCGACCCACGAUGGCACCAGCGCAUCCGCCUCGCCUUGGACGAGCAGCGGUGCCGCUGCAGCCGGUGCUGGCGGCCGGUGUGUUUUUAUUCAAGAGGUUGACUGCAUGAAGCUCCUCGACGUCUGCCCAGAGGUCGGGUGCGCGCUGCUGGCGCAGACCACAACAGUCAUGGAUGUGCUGCGGGUGGAGUGCGCGGCACUGUGCAAAGAGGCUGGGCAGGCGGGCAUUCUCAGCAGCAGCAUCUCCAUCCGCCUGACGCACGUGCCAGUGGCUAUGACAGGACUGCCGUCAGUCCCACCCGCUGGUGGCCAACUCGUGCAGCUGUGCGGGUCGAUCAUUCGCAUGUCGACCAAGCGCGUGGUGCCGUAUGCGUCGCGGCUAAUGUGCCCGCGAUGCCAUGAUACCACUGAGAUCUUCACAAACCCUUUUGACCGGGCGACGGAAGCCAAGGCGCAUUGCUCGCAGCCCGCCUGCAAGCAUGAGCCGAUGCAGGUGAUUGGCCAGGUUUGGAUGGACUACGCCGAGUGCCGGCUGCAGCAGCGGUCGAACCAGUCAGGCCACCUGCCUCGCAGCGUCUUAGUCACGCUGGAUGACGAGCUCAGCAUGAAGUGCUCGGUGGGCCAGUUCGUUGAGGUGGUGGGGAUCGCCUUUCCAAAAUGGCGGCAUGUUUUCCCCUCUAGCAGGCCGAGCAUCGAACCGGCCAUCUGGGCGGUCAACGUUCUCCCCAUGGAGGCGUACCGCGGGGCGGCCACGUCGACGAGCGGUGCACCUGGACUGCGUCGCCGCGCCGGCAAGACGGACCGGCCAAAGUUCAACCCAGAGCAUUUCUUCACCUCCUUCUGCAAGAACAAGCGCAAACGCGGCGUGACGCUGGCGCGGUCCGUGUGCCCACACCUCUCCGGUCUCUUCGCGCCCCGCUUCGCAGUGUUGCUCUCCGCCCUCGGCGGUGCGUCGACGACGGGGAAAACGUCCAUGCACGUACGCAACACAAUUCACUGCCUCUACGUUGGCGACCCCUCAACUGGCAAGACGCAGCUGCUGCGCUUUGCGGCGGCCAUCGCGCCGCGCAGCACCUCGACGACCGGCAUGGGCAGCACCUCCGCCGGUCUCACAGUGGCCGCCGCGAAGGAGCAUGGCGAGUGGGUGCUUGAACCUGGUGCAUUGGUGCUGAGCGAUGGCGGCUCCUGCAUCAUCGAUGAGCUCCGCACCGUCUCUCCAGCGGAUCGUGCCUCGCUGCAUGAGGCAAUGGAGCAGCAGACCAUCUCCGUGGCGAAGGGCGGCCUCGUCACGAAGUUGCGCACCGCCUGCGCGGUCUUGUCAGCCUGCAAUCCACCGGCCCGCCGCGGUGGUCGCACAGAGAUCGGCGUUGGCGGUCCGCUGCUGAGCCGCUUUGACUUCAUCUUUCUUCUGUGGGACACGCCGAAGCCAGAGUUGGAUGCGCGGAUUUCGUCGCACAUGCUGCGGGCCAAUACUGGAGCACAGACGGUGCUGGAGGAGGAGGAGCUGACGGUGGACGAGGUGGCGCGGUACCUUUGGUGGGUGCGCACCCAGUACGCCACGGCAGACGGCCCUUUUCUCUCCGACCCGGCCGCUGACUUACUGGGCCGCUACUACGAGAUCCAGCGGCAGCGUGGCGCCAGUCCGGCCCUGGAUGACGCGGUGCCGGUGACCGUGCGGUUCCUCGAGUCCCUCGUGCGACUCACACAGGCACACGCGAAGCUGCAUCUACAGACGAUGUGCACGCUCGAGGACGCCGCAAUGGCGGUGUUUCUCAUGGAACGCUCCGCGUACAGCCUCAAGUGCCCGCUGGACGCUGUCGAGCCCGGAAUGCACAGCAGUUCGCGGGAGCUGGACGAGGUGUUCCUCUCGGAUGACCCUGCGGCGCUCGCUCAACAGGACGCGGUGCUAUCCGCCAUCGUCGAUGUCAUGCUCCACUACCAGCUGCCGCCAGCGGACCCCUUUGAUGGGGCCGAAACGAGAGGCGAUGCGGAGAUUGCCUUGGCAGAUCUUCCCUUCAUGCGGGCAAUGCGCGUCGCUGGCGCGUCGCAGAAUACAAACGCCUCUUCGUCCACCGGCGACGCUACAAGCGAGAAUGAUGUGACGGACGGCACGCUGCUGGCUCAGAGGAAAGCCCCCUCGGCCUUGCUGCAGGCCAAGACCCUCGUCGCCAUCGCCAGCGCUGAGCGACUGGCGGAGGAGGUUGGCCGGACCUCUGGCACCGCCUACAGCGUCGCGCGCUAUACCGGAUCCACUAUUGAGCGGGCCGCGGACUCGUCUCCCAGAGCCGUGGCGGAUCUGCUGCGGUCUCAGCGUGUGUGUCGGUCAACGUCUGUGGUACCGUCCGCAUUCGCUGCCUCGCAGCCGAGCCCGCUACCCGCUCUCGUCGAAGAGGCGCGAGCACAGGAGCACAGACAGCUGAUGACUGGAAAGAGGCCGAGUGAGGCGGGCGAGGAUGAGUUGCUGCUACCGGAUAGCGAGCACCACUCCGCCGCCUCCAGCGCGCCGCCUUCGCAGCAAAUGCUGGCCUGUCCUCUUCCGUCGCCAUCAUUGUCCGUACCCGAAGCCGGUUCACUCCCGUACUCGCUCUUGCCAAACGGUACGCGGAAACGGUCUGCCGAGGACAUCAUGCGCAGUCUUCGAUUCCGCCCGUGAAGAGGGGGCUUUGGGGUGCUUGGGUGUGUGCCAUUUUUUUUUCGGCGUACCAACGUUUCUCGCCUCAUGCUUCUCUCGCUCUCAGCCCGUCCGCUUCUGCCCUUGUUGCAGUCCGGUCGAACGCUGUCCUGCGCACCUGUCUGAGCCGUCUCGUUGACAAGC
RNAcentral lists this unclassified non-coding RNA (3340 nucleotides) under Leishmania donovani. Its description in RNAcentral is "gene:LdHU3.35.6500(CDS-product:DNA_replication_li censing_factor_MCM9_putative)". The record is from RNAcentral. Lineage: Eukaryota; Euglenozoa; Kinetoplastea; Trypanosomatida; Trypanosomatidae.